RNAcentral lists this ribosomal RNA (1565 nucleotides) under Halorubrum distributum JCM 10118. RNAcentral describes it as "bacterial LSU rRNA". It matches the Rfam family "Archaeal large subunit ribosomal RNA", at positions 650 to 2232 of the family's 2987-position model. The record is from RNAcentral. Lineage: Archaea; Methanobacteriati; Methanobacteriota; Halobacteria; Halobacteriales; Haloferacaceae.
UUUUGAAAAACGACCCAGGGAGUGCACUUGAUUGGCGAGUCUAACCCGUGAACCGGGGAAGGCGCAGGGAAACCGAUACGGCCGCAGCAUUGCGAGGGCCACCGUGUUCAAGCGCGGGGAGUCAACCAGGUGCGACCCGAAACCAGGCGAUCUACGCGCGAGCAAGGUGAAGCGUGGCGAAAGCCACGUGGAGGCCUGUUAGAGUUGGUAUUCUACNCCUCUCGUGACUCGUGUGUAGGGGUGAAAGGCCCAUCGAGCCUGGCAACAGCUGGUUCCAACCGAAACAUGUCGAAGCAUGACCUCUUCCGAGGUAGCCCGCGGGGUAGAGCUACCGAUUGGAUGACCCGCCUCCGAGAGGAGUCGGCCAUCCUGUCGAACUCCAAACCCGCAGGCGCUGUAGACGAAGGGAGUCCGGUGCGCGGGGUAAGCCUGUGUACCGUGAGGGGAACAACCCAGAGCCGGGUUAAGGUCCCAAAGUGUAGAUUAAGUGCGAUUCGAAGGUGGUCUCAAGCCCUAAACAGCCGGGAGGGGAGCUUAGAAGCAGCUACCCGCUAAGAAAAGCGUAACAGCUUACCGGCCGAGGUUUGAGGCGCCCAAAAUGAUCGGGGCUCAAAUCUACCACCGAGACCUGGCCGUGCCCUUGACAGGGGCAACCGCGUAGGUUGGCGUACUGGUCGGANNAGCAGCGAUAGUCGGGUGAGAACCUCGACGGCCUGAAGAGCAAGGGUUCCUCGGCACUGCCGUUCAGCCGAGGGUUAGCCGGUCCUAAGAUGUACCACAACUUGACUACAUCAACGGGAAGCUGGUUAAUAUUCCAGCGCCAUCGUGCAGUAAACGCCGACGCCGUGUGGAACGCUGAGCCGGGCCUUCGCCCGGUCGAAUCGUGGAAACUCGUGGAAGCCGUCACGGCACGAAGCGAGCGAAACGCGAAAUAGCGAAAGUCAGCCGUACAUAGGGCCCGUGAAAAGGCAAGCAUGAUGUCCGUACCNGCCGUCACGGCACGAAGCGAGCGAAACGCGAAAUAGCGAAAGUCAGCCGUACAUAGGGCCCGUGAAAAGGCAAGCAUGAUGUCCGUACCGAGAUCCGACACAGGUGCUCUGCCAGCGCAAGGCAAGGCCUGUCGGGAGAACCGACGUUAGGGAAUUCGGCAAGUUAGUCCCGUACCUUCGGAAGAAGGGAUGCCUGCUCUCGACGGAGCAGGUCGCAGUGACUCGGGCGCUCCGACUGUCUAGUAACAACACAGGUGACCGCAAAUCCGCAAGGACUCGUACGGUCACUGAAUCCUGCCCAGUGCGGGUAUCUGAACACCUCGUACAAGAGGACGAAGGACCCGUCAACGGCGGGGGUAACUAUGACCCUCUUAAGGUAGCGUAGUACCUUGCCGCUUCAGUAGCGGCUUGCAUGAAUGGAUAAACGAGAGCGCCACUGUCCCAACGUUGGACCCGGUGAACUGUACGUUCCAGUGCGGAGUCUGGAGACCCCCAAGGGGAAGCGAAGACCCUAUAGAGCUUUACUGCAGGCUGUCGCUGAGACGUGGUCGCCGAUGUGCAGCAUAGGUAGGAGUC